RNAcentral lists this ribosomal RNA (425 nucleotides) under uncultured bacterium. RNAcentral describes it as "bacterial SSU rRNA". It matches the Rfam family "Bacterial small subunit ribosomal RNA", at positions 356 to 773 of the family's 1533-position model. The record is from RNAcentral.
UAAGGAUCUUCCGCAAUGGGCGAAAGCCUGACGGAGCGACGCCGCGUGGACGAUGGAGGCCGUGAGGUUGUAAAGUCCUUUUCCGUGGGGUGAAGAGCCGUGCCAGGGAAUGGGUGCGGGGUGACGUGACCACGGGAAUAAGCCCCGGCUAACUACGUGCCAGCAGCCGCGGUAACACGUAGGGGGCGAGCGUUGUUCGGAAUCAUUGGGCGUAAAGGGCGCGCAGGCGGCUGCGGGAGCCCGGCGUGAAAUCCACAGGCCCAACCUGUGGGGGUCGCCGGGGACUCCGCGGCUGGAGUCCAGGAAGCGGUUCAGGAAUUCCCGGUGUAGGGGUGAAAUCUGUAGAUAUCGGGAAGAACACCAAUGGCGAAGGCGUGGGCCGGGCCAUGGACUGACGCUGAGGCGCGAAGGUGCGGGGAGCGAAC